GUUCGACGGUUCCUAGCAGUUCGUAUAUUGCCGUUCGGGAGUUUGGAGCCGUUCGUGGAUUUCGAUCGGGAGAUUGUCGCUUCCCCUGCAUUUGGUUCGUGGGUUACAGAGUAAGCGAACAGAGACUGUACUGCAGCCGGGGAAGGUUUACUAAACGGCGGUUUGGCUUAAAGACACGGGAGGUGUCUUAACAAUUGGUGGCAAGCGACGGGAUGAAUCCUAUAGCAUUGGAGGUCAGCUACGAGACAUGCAGUACGAGGAAUUAAGGCGUGCUACACUUAAGGACAUAUUGGAACGCCGAGGAAGGUCAGCAAGCAAUUUAAAGAAACGGGAGAUUAUUGCUUUGCUAAUGGAGAUGGAU
Non-coding RNA from Pelobates cultripes (western spadefoot toad), 361 nucleotides. The record is from the annotation of a GenBank genome assembly. Lineage: Eukaryota; Metazoa; Chordata; Amphibia; Anura; Pelobatidae.